This 597-nucleotide ribosomal RNA is filed under the name Salmonella enterica subsp. enterica serovar Bovismorbificans. RNAcentral describes it as "partial 23S ribosomal RNA". It matches the Rfam family "Bacterial large subunit ribosomal RNA", at positions 1 to 628 of the family's 2925-position model. The record is from RNAcentral. Lineage: Bacteria; Pseudomonadati; Pseudomonadota; Gammaproteobacteria; Enterobacterales; Enterobacteriaceae.
GGGUUGUGAGGUUAAGCGACUAAGCGUACACGGUGGAUGCCCUGGCAGUCAGAGGCGAUGAAGGGCGUGCUAAUCUGCGAUAAGCGCCGGUAAGGUGAUAUGAACCGUUAUAACCGGCGAUACCCGAAUGGGGAAACCCAGUGUGACUCGUCACACUAUCAUUAACUGAAUCCAUAGGUUAAUGAGGCGAACCGGGGGAACUGAAACAUCUAAGUACCCCGAGGAAAAGAAAUCAACCGAGAUUCCCCCAGUAGCGGCGAGCGAACGGGGAGGAGCCCAGAGCCUGAAUCAGCAUGUGUGUUAGUGGAAGCGUCUGGAAAGGCGCGCGAUACAGGGUGACAGCCCCGUACACAAAAGCGCAUGUGCUGUGAGCUCGAUGAGUAGGGCGGGACACGUGGUAUCCUGUCUGAAUAUGGGGGGACCAUCCUCCAAGGCUAAAUACUCCUGACUGACCGAUAGUGAACCAGUACCGUGAGGGAAAGGCGAAAAGAACCCCGGCGAGGGGAGUGAAAAAGAACCUGAAACCGUGUACGUACAAGCAGUGGGAGCACCCUUCGGGGUGUGACUGCGUACCUUUUGUAUAAUGGGUCAGCGACU